CGCGUAGGCGGCGGGAGAAGUCGAGUGUGAAAGCCCCGGGCUCAACCUGGGAAUUGCGCUCGAUACUCUAGCGCUUGAGUUCGGGAGAGGAGCGUGGAAUUCCCAGUGUAGAGGUGAAAUUCGUAGAUAUUGGGAAGAACACCGGUGGCGAAGGCGGCGCUCUGGACCGAGACUGACGCUGAGGCGCGAAAGCGUGGGGAGCAAACA
RNAcentral lists this ribosomal RNA (207 nucleotides) under uncultured bacterium. RNAcentral's name for it is "partial 16S ribosomal RNA". It matches the Rfam family "Bacterial small subunit ribosomal RNA", at positions 568 to 774 of the family's 1533-position model. The record is from RNAcentral.